AUCAUUCUUUUUGGUUCAAUUGAGAUGCUUGAAGAAUCUGAUUGAUAAUCCAUUUGCAUUUCUUCAUCUAAUUUCAUUUAUGUUCAGGAUGAUCAGACUCAAGUUCAAGCGAAAGAGUGAGAGAGAGCGUCAACAGAAGGGGAUCCGGUGCCGUCGCCUUGCAACCCUGUUUCGGUGACCAUCUCUGUCUUCUACCCCUUUGUUCCAGCGGCCAUGGGUGUGGUAGUCACCGGAGGCUGAUAUGAUGGACCCAAACCGAAGCAGACUAUGAUGGUGGCGAAGUUACCGUUAGCGCCUAGGGUUCCAGCAGAACACCGACAAGUUAUAUCUGUCAUGCAUGUCCUGUUUUGGUGUAGAUCGACAAACGCCGAGGUACCAACACUGUGGUAAGUUCCAAUAAUUCCUUUUUGGUCCAAGAGGGAGGGGAUACUCAACUUCAACCCUUCAAAUCUUGAUCUGGGCAACUGGAAAUAAAGAUUUUUUUAGUACAAAAAUAAGCUUAGAAAAGUGCAACUUGCUCAAGUUUUGGAAUAUCAACUGAGGUUGAAUGGCUUGGCAAAGCAGUGGAACACUCACACCUUAAGUAAUAUAAGUAUAGUUAUUGUUGUUGGCAGCCCUUUGAAAAUAUAGAAGAAUAGGCUAGAGAAAUGAGAAAAUAAAUACACAUGCCCGGAAAUAGGGAAAAUAAAUCAACUUAAAGAGUAAGAAAACCCCUUUGGAUAAGUUUUAUGGUGUGCUAGAGAAAUGAGAAAAUAAAUACACAUGCCCGAAUAUUGAUAUUAAAUUUGCGAUUUGAUUGUUCGGUUCUCUGUUGUAAUUCUGUUUCAUUAAUUUUGUGUUUUUGUUUUGUGUACGACAUUUCCAGUUUACAUUGAUGUGUAUGUUUGGCAAAUUAGGACUUAAGUUGGGUACUGUAGAUCUGAAUACAUAUGAGUGAUUGAGAAUCCUUAGUCGAAUCUUUUGGUACAUUGUCAGUAUGGAAAAAUGGGUUAUCUGGAUGGGUCGGUCAAACAACUCCUAAUCCACUAUAAGUGAUCUACUUAACCCGUUAGGGACAUAUCAUAUCUUACCCAACUUGGCCCUUUUUAGUAAGUAAAUUGGUCAAAAUUGAUUGGUGGCUGAUGUAUAAAAAAUAUUUUUGUUUCAGAAGGCAAAACCAACUGAUGAGAAUGAAAGUGAACCCAUGUUACAAUGUGGUAUGCAUGAUAUUAAUGGUGUUGAUACAGAUCAUGCUUCUAGAGCUGCUAUAUGGUCAAAGUUCUCAAAACACCAUGGCAGCUUAGGUUUAUUAUUCAAUCUUCUCAAACCGCCAACAGUAGCCCCAUGGGUCCUAGAGGUCUCAAUGAAGUUGCAUGGUUGAAGUGGGAUGAUAUGUGUUUGUAAAUGGUUGAAGUGGAAUCAUAUGUGUUUGUAAUUUUAUAUAUCUCAUUUUGGUAACGAAGCUGAAUCUGUUGUAUGCAUUUGACUUGGGUGAACACAUUAUGCCUUUUUAUAAAGUCAUGUAUAGUAUAAUCUUCAUAAAUAAAUAUUCGUAAACCAUAAACGAAGUAAAACUCAUGUAUGAAAUUGCAGGAUUCGGAUGUUAUAAGUUUGAAUGGUAUGGGGUUUUUGAAGAUUGAAUUGUCUCCCGCCAUCAAAUAUGUUUUCAUUGUAUGUCGCGCAAAUGACAACGGUCAAGUCUUGAAUGCGUGUGGAGUCGUGACACAUAUGCCGCAAAAGAAGAGUUCGGUGAUGAAGAGGUGAACUGUGAAUCUUCACCGGAACAGGCUGCAAAUUUUUUAUUUUGGUUUCGCUCGAUCCACUUUAGAUGAAGAAAGCCAAGAAUGCGAUCUUGAACCAAUGCUACGUAGCGCGCCGCAACGCGCGCGGGGGGUAUAAACCUAGUUAAAGACAAAAAUUGAAGCUUUCCCUUCUCACACACACAUAUACAUACAAAUCAUAUAUAUAUAUAUAUAUACUAGAUUAUAACCCCGUGUAUUACACGGGUUGAAUAAAUAAAUUUUAUAUACUAAAUAAUAAAACAUUAUCUUUUUAAAAGCCUCCUUUAUUGCACGGGUUGAAGAAAUGUAAUUUUAUAUAUUAAAUAAUAAAAUAAGUUAUAUCUAUAAGAACCAUAUAUAUUGUACGGGUUGAAUAAAUGUAAUAUUAUAUACCAAAUAAUAAAAAAAAUUAUAUCUUUAAAACCAUCGUAUUACACGGGUUGAAUAAAUGUAAUAUUGUUUACCAAAUAAUAAAAAAAAUUAUAUUUUUAAAAACCCCCGUGUAUUACAUGAGUUGAAUAAAUAUGAUUUUAUAUACCAAAUAAUAAAAAAAAAUAUUUAAAAAAA
Helianthus annuus (common sunflower) is the source of this 2327-nucleotide long non-coding RNA. RefSeq lists it as uncharacterized. The transcript has 3 exons. Lineage: Eukaryota; Viridiplantae; Streptophyta; Magnoliopsida; Asterales; Asteraceae. The record is from RefSeq and is a predicted model, not a curated record.